UACGUAGGGUGCGAGCGUUGUCCGGAAUUAUUGGGCGUAAAGAGCUCGUAGGCGGUGUGUCGCGUCGGCCGUGAAAACCUGCAGCUUAACUGUGGGCUUGCGGUGGGUACGGGCAGACUAGAGUGCGGAAGGGGCAAUCGGAAUUCUUGGUGUAGCGGUGAAAUGCGUAGAUAUCAAGAGGAACACCUGAGGUGAAGACGGGUUGCUGGGCCGACACUGACGCUGAGUGCGCGAAAGCCAGGGGAGCAAACGGG
RNAcentral lists this ribosomal RNA (254 nucleotides) under uncultured bacterium. Its description in RNAcentral is "partial 16S ribosomal RNA". It matches the Rfam family "Bacterial small subunit ribosomal RNA", at positions 524 to 776 of the family's 1533-position model. The record is from RNAcentral.